RNAcentral lists this ribosomal RNA (407 nucleotides) under uncultured bacterium. RNAcentral's name for it is "partial 16S ribosomal RNA". It matches the Rfam family "Bacterial small subunit ribosomal RNA", at positions 28 to 526 of the family's 1533-position model. The record is from RNAcentral.
GACGAACGCUGGCGGCAUGCCUAAUACAUGCAAGUAGAACGCCGUUGCGAACGGGUGAGUAACGAGUAGGGAACUGCCUAAUAGCGGGGGAUAACUAUUGGAAACGAUAACUAAUACCGCAUACUGUGAGAUGGACCUGCGUUGGAUUAGAUAGUUGGUGAGGUAAAGGCCCCCCAAGGCGACGCUACCUAGACGCCCUGAGAGGGUGAUCGGCCACACUGGGACUGAGUAACUGGCCAGACGUCUUACGGGGGCAGCAGUAGGGAAUCUUCGGCAAUGGAGGGCAUGCUGACCGAGCAACGCCGCGGUGUUGAAGAAGGUUUUCUGAGUGUAAAGCUCUGUUGUGAGAGAAGCGGUAACUAACCAGAAAGCGACGGCUAACUACGUGCCAGCCGCCGCGGUAAUUC